RNAcentral lists this ribosomal RNA (429 nucleotides) under Chloroflexota bacterium. RNAcentral describes it as "Chloroflexi bacterium partial 16S ribosomal RNA". It matches the Rfam family "Bacterial small subunit ribosomal RNA", at positions 355 to 776 of the family's 1533-position model. The record is from RNAcentral. Lineage: Bacteria; Bacillati; Chloroflexota.
UGGGGAAUAUUGCACAAUGGGCGCAAGCCUGAUGCAGCCAUGCCGCGUGUAUGAAGAAGGCCUUCGGGUUGUAAAGUACUUUCAGCGGGGAGGAAGGGAGUAAAGUUAAUACCUUUGCUCAUUGACGUUACCCGCAGAAGAAGCACCGGCUAACUCCGUGCCAGCAGCCGCGGUAAUACGGAGGGUGCAAGCGUUAAUCGGAAUUACUGGGCGUAAAGCGCACGCAGGCGGUUUGUUAAGUCAGAUGUGAAAUCCUCGGGCUCAACCUGGGACCUGCCUCUGUUACUUGCAAGCUUGAGUCUCUUAGAGGGGGGUAUAAUUCCAGGUGUAGCGGUGAAAUGCGUAUAGAUCUGGAGGAAUACCGUUUGCGAAGGCGGCCCCCUGGACGAAGACUGACGCUCAGGUGCGAAGGCGUGGGGAGCAAACAGG